CUGAGUUUUAUCUCAUGUUCCUUUUCUUAUGAGGGAUACAGGGUCCAUGCUGCUCAGGCCGACUUCUCCUGUAAAAGGGGCUGAAUCUGAGUCAUUAGAGAACCACAUAUGGUUUCACUUCCAGUGACAUCUGGAAAGCAAGGGGUCAGGUAGCAUCACAGAGAUGUCCCGGUGAAAACGGGGACUGAGCUGACGCUGUUGUUCUCUUUGGGAGAUGAGUAGGGAGUGAAAUAGUCAGACCUUGAUGUGGAGGGAAUUUUAGUGAAGAAUUAGAAUAAUGUUUCUUUUCCUUUACUCACCUUCUCAAAUUACCUAAAGAGGAGAUGUAAGGACAGAGAAAAAUAGGGAAGAACAGCAGAAGGAGCUACUUGAGGGAUGACAGGAAUUUAAAUAAAAUCACAACCCUCCAGAAAGAACCGAAAGGUUUCCAACCUCAUUUACCUGAUAGAUGGGGUUUUACCAUGUUGACCAGGAUGGCCUUGAUCUCUUGACCUCGUGAUCUCCCUGCCACGGCCUCCCUGAACUGCUGGAAUUACAGGCUUCCAAGUGAGAAGUUCAGGGCUUCACAAUUGAGAACCAGAAAGAAAAGGAGAAACUGGCCUUUGUUGAGUAUCAACUGUCAACAUUCUUGGAUAAGAAAGGGAGAACCCCUCUUAAAGGAGAGUCUUAUGACCUGCUUCAGGAGAGAAGGGCAAGGGGAAGGUGAGGGCUAAGAAUUCCUUCUGCAACAACCCUGACAAAUGAGCAUGGUACUUCCAGGAAAAUUUCUCCAGGGUAGUGAAGCUCAUUACCAGAGAGCCACCCAGACAGCAAGAUGAAGCUUAACAAGGAAUACAAGAACAGCCUCCACUUGGAUUCAAAAUCAGCAACUGCAAAAAUUUCAAGAUAAAAAGACCUCCCUAAUGAUAAAGAAACACAUACAGCAAAAACCUUCAGUUGACUCUGUCUUAUUUCAGCUAUGGAAUUUUAGAAUUGGGUGUAUGUGCACCUGAGCAGUAUUCUUUUCUUUGAUAUUUACAGAACCUGUUGGCCAACAUGUUUCCAGAAACAGAGAACCACUCACGACUUUCUAAUAAAGCUAUUCCACAUGUAGACAAACAUAUUCAAUGCUAGUACUAAAAUCUGUUCCUGUUUCGAAUUCUCAUAUCAUGCCUUAACUCCUGUCUUUUGGAACAACUUAGACUGUUUAUGUCUUAACCACAAACACCCUACCACAUACUUGAAGAAGAUUCCCAUAGUUACAGAACACAACUCUUUCCCAAAUAAAAUUUACCUUCACUUUUCCUGAUGAGACAUUGAAAUCUAUUAUUCUUCCCUAGUAGGAUGGAAGUUCUUUGAGUAAAUAUGAGGCAUGUGUGUCAAGGAAAAAGUGGAUGUUUGCUUAAACAAAGAAGUGAGAUCCUGGGAGAAGUCCAACAUGUCACAAUAUUUACCCUGAAAGACACUCAGGCUUAAAUAAAAAUAAAUCAAAUCUUUUAAUCUCCUCUUAACUUAUUUACCCAAAUGCGACAAUGAAUUUUCAUAUAUCACUUUAAAUUCCUGACACACACAAGCCAAAUAUUGAACGCUGAUU
Molecule: long non-coding RNA, 1573 nt
Organism: Callithrix jacchus (white-tufted-ear marmoset)
Lineage: Eukaryota; Metazoa; Chordata; Mammalia; Primates; Cebidae
Source: Ensembl